GAUGAACGCUGGCGGCGUGCCUAAUACAUGCAAGUCGAGCGAACGGACGAGAAGCUUGCUUUUCUGAUGUUAGCGGCGGACGGGUGAGUAACACGUGGAUAACCUACCUAUAAGACUGGGAUAACUUCGGGAAACCGGAGCUAAUACCGGAUAAUAUUUUGAACCGCAUGGUUCAAAAGUGAAAGACGGUCUUGCUGUCACUUAUAGAUGGAUCCGCGCUGCAUUAGCUAGUUGGUAAGGUAACGGCUUACCAAGGCAACGAUGCAUAGCCGACCUGAGAGGGUGAUCGGCCACACUGGAACUGAGACACGGUCCAGCCUCCUACGGGAGGAAGCAGUAGGGAAUCUUCCGCAAUGGGCGAAAGCCUGACGGAGAAACGCCGCGUGAGUGAUGAAGGUCUUCGGAUCGUAAAACUCUGUUAUUAGGGAAGAACAUAUGUGUAAGUAACUGUGCACAUCUUGACGGUACCUAAUCAGAAAGCCACGGCUAACUACGUG
RNAcentral lists this ribosomal RNA (497 nucleotides) under uncultured bacterium. RNAcentral's name for it is "partial 16S ribosomal RNA". It matches the Rfam family "Bacterial small subunit ribosomal RNA", at positions 28 to 507 of the family's 1533-position model. The record is from RNAcentral.